Molecule: long non-coding RNA, 293 nt
Organism: Suricata suricatta (meerkat)
Lineage: Eukaryota; Metazoa; Chordata; Mammalia; Carnivora; Herpestidae
Exons: 2
Source: RefSeq, a predicted model, not a curated record
GGUGGGGGAAAGGAGCAGAAAAACACUGGGGGCCCAAGAGUCUAGGCUGGCCUGGAAAUGUUGUUCUCUUCCAUCAAGCCUCCUGACUUUGAAGUCACUCAGCCUCAGGAGUACACCAGAGCCAUGUUUCCUCAAAAGGGCUCUGCUUCAUCAUCUUAUCAUCUGAUAAGAAGGAGACUCUGAGAGGUUAAUUGGCUCUUGCAACUUCAUAUGGCUCACUAUCUGCCAAGCCAAAGUUGGAACUACUAUCAGCAGACUCCCUACCAAGAGUAAAAAGUUUCUAACUAAACGUA